This 246-nucleotide ribosomal RNA is filed under the name uncultured Corynebacterium sp. RNAcentral describes it as "partial 16S ribosomal RNA". It matches the Rfam family "Bacterial small subunit ribosomal RNA", at positions 796 to 1041 of the family's 1533-position model. Lineage: Bacteria; Bacillati; Actinomycetota; Actinomycetes; Mycobacteriales; Corynebacteriaceae. The record is from RNAcentral.
CAUGCCGUAAACGGUGGGCGCUAGGUGUGGGGAUUUUUCACGAUUUCCGUGCCGUAGCUAACGCAUUAAGCGCCCCGCCUGGGGAGUACGGCCGCAAGGCUAAAACUCAAAGGAAUUGACGGGGGCCCGCACAAGCGGCGGAGCAUGUGGAUUAAUUCGAUGCAACGCGAAGAACCUUACCUGGGCUUGACAUACACCGGAUCGCUGCAGAGAUGUAGUUUCCCUUCGGGGCUGGUGUACAGGUGG